GCAUCAGUGGUGUAGUGGUAGCACACGUCCCCAGUAUAGAUGGAAUGCGGGUUCGACUUCCGUCUGAGGUC
This is a non-coding RNA of Parelaphostrongylus tenuis, 71 nucleotides long. Lineage: Eukaryota; Metazoa; Nematoda; Chromadorea; Rhabditida; Metastrongylidae. The record is from the annotation of a GenBank genome assembly.